This 72-nucleotide transfer RNA is filed under the name Aedes aegypti (yellow fever mosquito). It matches the Rfam family "tRNA". Rfam says of the family: Transfer RNA (tRNA) molecules are approximately 80 nucleotides in length. Their secondary structure includes four short double-helical elements and three loops (D, anti-codon, and T loops). Lineage: Eukaryota; Metazoa; Arthropoda; Insecta; Diptera; Culicidae. The record is from Rfam by way of RNAcentral.
GGCUCGGUAGCUUAGUUGGUAAAGCGCUUAUUUAGCAUACAAGAGUUCUGGGUUCAAAUCCCAACCGGGUAC